CAGCCGCCGCGGGAAUGCGAAGGGGGCUAGCGUUGCUCGGAAUGACUGGGCGUAAAGGGCGCGUAGGCGGCGAUCAAAGUCAGGCGUGAAAUUCCUGGGCUCAACCUGGGGGCUGCGUUUGAUACUUGAUUGCUUGAGUGGGGAAGAGGGUCAUGGAAUUCCCAGUGUAGAGGUGAAAUCCGUAGAUAUCGGAAGGAACACCUGUGGCGAAAGCGGCUCACUGGACAAUAACUGACGCUGAUGCACGAAAGCUAGGGGAGCAAACAGGAUUAGAUACCCCUGUAGUCCCUGUCUCUUAUAC
RNAcentral lists this ribosomal RNA (301 nucleotides) under uncultured bacterium. RNAcentral's name for it is "partial 16S ribosomal RNA". It matches the Rfam family "Bacterial small subunit ribosomal RNA", at positions 509 to 807 of the family's 1533-position model. The record is from RNAcentral.